Molecule: ribosomal RNA, 236 nt
Filed under: uncultured Acanthamoeba
Lineage: Eukaryota; Discosea; Longamoebia; Acanthamoebidae
Description: partial 18S ribosomal RNA
Rfam family: Eukaryotic small subunit ribosomal RNA
Source: RNAcentral
UUCUGCGAGCAUCUGCCAGGAUGUUUUCAUUAAUCAAGAACGAAAGUUAGGGGAUCGAAGACGAUCAGAUACCGUCGUAGUCUUAACCAUAAACGAUGCCGACCAGCGAUUAGGAGACGUUGAAUACAAAACACCACCAUCGGCGCGGUCGUCCUUGGCGUCGGUCUUUCGGGGCCGGCGCGAGGGCGGCUUAGCCCGGUGGCACCGGUGAAUGACUCCCUAGCAGCUUGUGAGAA